Molecule: ribosomal RNA, 403 nt
Filed under: uncultured bacterium
Lineage: Bacteria
Description: partial 16S ribosomal RNA
Rfam family: Bacterial small subunit ribosomal RNA
Source: RNAcentral
AUUGAACGCUGGCGGCAUGCUUUACACAUGCAAGUCGAGCGAGCGGCGGACGGGUGAGUAAUGUAUGGGGACUGCCCGAUAGCGGGGGAUAACUACUGGAAACAGUGGCUAAUACCGCAUACUAUCGGAUAACCCAUAUGGGAUUAGCUAGUAGGUGGGGUAAAGGCUCACCUAGGCGACGAUCCCUAGCUGGUCUGAGAGGAUGAUCAGCCACACUGGGACUGAGACACGGCCCAGACUCCUACGGAGGCAGCAGUGGGGAAUAUUGGACAAUGGGCGAAAGCCUGAUGCAGCCAUGCCGCGUGUAUGAAGAAGGCCUUAGGGUUGUAAAGUACUUUCAGCGGGGAGGCGUUACCCGCAGAAGAAGCACCGGCUAACUACGUGCCAGCCGCCGCGGUAAUAC